This 230-nucleotide long non-coding RNA is filed under the name Homo sapiens (human). Its description in RNAcentral is "HSALNT0232876". Lineage: Eukaryota; Metazoa; Chordata; Mammalia; Primates; Hominidae. The record is from RNAcentral.
AGCACAGCAUGUAUCCACAGAGGGAGGUAGCAAAAUGUUAAACUUUGCUGAACUAUUUUGAUCAAGAAGCUGAUGUCAGACUUUAUUGAAUGUUUUAAUCCUUGGAAGCUAUGUCAAACAGAUGAUAUGGAAGUUUCCUCUUAACCUUUCAGUUUCCUCAUAUAUCAUUUCUGGGGACAAAAGAAUUCCCCCUUUCUCACUUCUGAGUGAGUGAAAGGCAAGGCUUAAAG